RNAcentral lists this non-coding RNA (26 nucleotides) under Rattus norvegicus (Norway rat). The record is from RNAcentral. Lineage: Eukaryota; Metazoa; Chordata; Mammalia; Rodentia; Muridae.
UCAGAGAGAGCCCUAUAAGUACUUGU